Molecule: non-coding RNA, 89 nt
Filed under: Clostridiales bacterium
Lineage: Bacteria; Bacillati; Bacillota; Clostridia; Eubacteriales
Description: c-di-GMP sequence
Rfam family: c-di-GMP-I riboswitch aptamer
About the family: GEMM was predicted in a large-scale screen for bacterial structured RNA regulatory elements. Genes associated with GEMM are involved in a diverse array of functions, including chemotaxis regulation, signal transduction, secretion and chitin.
Source: RNAcentral
ACUAUCAAAGGGCAAACUUCACGAAAGUGAAGGACGCAAAGCUGUGGGUCUAAGGUAAUUUUCAUUACUAUGAUUGUCAGGCUGCAAGA